CCCGCCCUCCUCGCCUUCACCCCGCCGAGGCUGCGCUCGCCUCCGCCUCAUGUGUCCUCACUCGCGCCUGCUUACCCCUCGCCUUCCUCGCCUCCGACCCCACCUUUUUUUUUCUCUCUGAUCCUCCUCCACCAUCUACAGCCCUUUGCAACGGUAAGGAGGACGGCACCGCAUCCUCUUCCUCUGCCUUCACCCUCCACCUCCACUACAGCAAAUUUUUCAUACACCAAACCCACCUCUGAGAACCUGUCGUCCCCACCACCGCUGAUAAUGACAAA
RNAcentral lists this long non-coding RNA (278 nucleotides) under Ananas comosus (pineapple). Its description in RNAcentral is "long non-coding RNA (ACOM_LNC038888)". The record is from RNAcentral. Lineage: Eukaryota; Viridiplantae; Streptophyta; Magnoliopsida; Poales; Bromeliaceae.